Molecule: ribosomal RNA, 247 nt
Filed under: uncultured bacterium
Lineage: Bacteria
Description: partial 16S ribosomal RNA
Rfam family: Bacterial small subunit ribosomal RNA
Source: RNAcentral
AUACGUAGGUCCCGAGCGUUGUCCGGAUUUACUGGGCGUAAAGGGAGCGUAGGCGGAUUUUUAAGUGAGAUGUGAAAUACUCGGGCUUAACCUGAGUGCUGCAUUUCAAACUGGAAGUCUAGAGUGCAGGAGAGGAAAGUGGAAUUCCUAGUGUAGCGGUGAAAUGCGUAGAUAUUAGGAGGAACACCAGUAGCGAAGGCGGCUUUCUGGACUGUAACUGACACUGAGGCACGAAAGCGUGGGGAGC